GGAAGGGUGCCAGAGUGGUUGAUUGGGACGGUCUCGAAAACCGUUAUGCGUGCAAGCGCAUCGAGGGUUCAAAUCCCUCUCCUUCCGCCA
This 90-nucleotide transfer RNA is filed under the name Holosporales bacterium. RNAcentral's name for it is "tRNA-Ser". It matches the Rfam family "tRNA". Rfam says of the family: Transfer RNA (tRNA) molecules are approximately 80 nucleotides in length. Lineage: Bacteria; Pseudomonadati; Pseudomonadota; Alphaproteobacteria; Holosporales. The record is from RNAcentral.